AUCACUAAUUUCCUUAUUUUAGCUUAUUUUUCCCUCGAGCUCCUUUCACUCUAACUAUCUCUCUUCGAAUCGCAAGCGCAAGCGAGAUGCUUCUAUCAUUAUAAGCUUCUCACAGUUUCUGUUUCUCAUAUUUUCACUGUAACAUUCAUUCUCUUCGAGACAUUAUCUCUUUUCACGACUGAAGUCGUUCUCGGUAGGAAUCAUUUCUUCCUCAUAAAAGUCUUCGUGAUUGGACCUAUUUGUGGACCUGGACCUGUGAAUGUAAACCUAUCCAAGUUAGUUGUGUUAUGUAAUUUCUCCUCCUUCAAUUCUUGAUCUUGAAUUUACCUUCUGCUAUGAUGCAUCUCAACUGUAAGUUAUGCUCUCAGGUUUCUUACUAUUUUAGAAAACCAUGUGCAAGUGACAUAGUAAUAUUCAAAAGCCCUCUGGUGCUUCAAGAAGUUGGAUAUAGUAUGACGAUAUUCUGAGAAGUGCCUCUUGUUCUGUUGGGAUUCUAGUAGAUAGAGGCCUUAGAUCAGUUGAAGGUAUAACAAGAUGUGAAACAACAGUAAAUGUGGCAGGCAGUGAUAUUCAUUGGAGGAAAAGAUGACAGAGAAGCCCUUUUCAUCUUAGUUGUAUGGAGGUAAUGUAAUCAUUACCCUUUUCAUAUUAUUUAGAGGCCAUAGUUUGAAUGAUUUUGAUAGCAAGGAAUGUUGCUAAUGAUUGGUUUCUUUUCCUUAAAAUCUACCGGUUUUGAGUAUCAUAGACAGACGACAGACAACAAAAGUGUACAAAAUCAUGCUUGUUAGUUUGUUAUUAUUUGUUUCCCUGUCCUUUUCACCCGGAUUAAUUAUUGAGAAAUGAUAACCAAUGCUAGCUAGAUAAAAGGGAAUACAAUAUUGAGAAGUGAUAAAUGAUGGAAUCCUUGAUGCAAGCGAAAAUUAGAAUGCUAAAACCAGCAAUGGUGGAGGAACAAAAAAUGUCAGAAUCCGAAACACCCCAAGCCUAUUUUCUAGGACCAACAUUAGUAAACAUAGGACUCCUAUGAUAGGAGGGGAGACAAGGAAGGAAAAGAAAAGCUACAAGAACAAAGCAACAAACUCAGCGGAUACACAGAUGCAGAAAAACAACAGUGCAGCAAAGAUCCAGACAACAAAGAUUGAAAGGCUGAAAAGUAGUUUUCAAAUUUGAAAGCCUCAGGGAACCUUUGUGUGGCCAAAUAUAGGUGUGUCUCCUCAUGUUGCGGCCAACCAUGAUGACCAAACAGUGAGCACAGCCACACUAACCCAUGUUACUGGCCCAUUCUCCCCUCAUCUUUCUCCUCCAUCAGAUUCUUGGGGUGCUGGAUACUGCAGUUAAUGUGGUUGAGAGGAAUGAAGACUAGAUUCUUGAACAACCUGCAUAUGAGAUGAAACCCACGGUAACUUAUAUCUUUUAAUAUUUUGGUUCUGUUGUCUUCCCUUCCUCUAUUGAUAUUGAAGUAUCCUGACUUAUUUUGUAUUCAACUGGGUGAACUAAUCCAAAAUUUAUUAGGAUGGGUCCUGGACUCUUGUUUGAAUUUACAUUAACCUUGAAUUAUUUGAAGCAUUGUGCACUGAUUUUAAUCUAAUAAUUUGUUUGCUUUUGUAGCGUGUACAAGAGAACAAUCGCAAUAACAGCUAUGAUUCCUACGUGUGAUAAUGAUUUCUUUUAAUAUAGUUGAUUAUUUAUGCUAUUCCAUGUUUGAUAAUUAUAUUGUGAAUGGAAUGUGAUUUUUGUUAGGGGUCCCCUGUCAUCGAAGAACAUCAUAGGCAUAUCAAUAUUUCGGUAUUGGCCACCAAAUAUAAUUGCUGGCACUGUUUCUAAGGAUAGUUGCAGUGUUGAAACCAAGCAGGAGAGGGAGAGUUUAGUAGGCUUCAACUUCUAAUGCACCAAAUAUACGAUGCAUUAAUAAUGGUUGGUGAUUCCAUUUCCCAUUCACCGUUUGGUUUAGUGGAAAUAUGUAUCAAAUUAGAAAUAAAAGAUAAUUUUAAAUUAUUAUUUUUUCUGAACUAUGAACUCCUUGUAAAUGAGUUAUUGGAGACUCUAGCGAAUAUAGCUCUAACAAAGGAGGAGGAAAUAAAACUUAAAAAUUACGAUGA
This is a long non-coding RNA of Vigna unguiculata (cowpea), 2099 nucleotides long. Lineage: Eukaryota; Viridiplantae; Streptophyta; Magnoliopsida; Fabales; Fabaceae. The record is from RefSeq and is a predicted model, not a curated record.